This 89-nucleotide transfer RNA is filed under the name Fidelibacterota bacterium. RNAcentral's name for it is "tRNA-Ser". It matches the Rfam family "tRNA". Rfam says of the family: Transfer RNA (tRNA) molecules are approximately 80 nucleotides in length. Their secondary structure includes four short double-helical elements and three loops (D, anti-codon, and T loops). The record is from RNAcentral. Lineage: Bacteria; Pseudomonadati; Fidelibacterota.
GGAAGGGUGACCGAGUUGGCUUAAGGUGCACGAUUGGAAAUCGUGUGUACGGCAAAACCGUACCCCGGGUUCGAAUCCCGGCUCUUCCG